Paramuricea clavata is the source of this 373-nucleotide non-coding RNA. The record is from the annotation of a GenBank genome assembly. Lineage: Eukaryota; Metazoa; Cnidaria; Anthozoa; Malacalcyonacea; Plexauridae.
UUAAUUUAUAAAUAAUUCAUGCUUGAGAAUUCAUGAUGAUGAAUCAGGACUGAUUCAGCAAGUUAACAAUCAGCACGAGAAAUAAAAAGCAAAGAAAAACCCUUGUGGUGACUGGUGAAAUUGAAAAUUGUAAAUGAGAUGAGCAUUAAAUCGGUUGACUCACCAUAAAGAUUAGUUUUGCCAGCGCCUAGCGACUCUUAGCACAUGUUUACGGUCUCGGAGCGAACGCUAACAGGGCUCUGGGGGACUGGGAACGAGAUCUUACGACAAGUAUACCCGGGGGGCGGGAAUAGCGAAUAUAUACGGUUUUAAUUCCAAACAGAUGGUGUUUCUGUUUUUCAUGCUUUGUCGGUUCACUUACAGAAUAAAGAAG